RNAcentral lists this ribosomal RNA (465 nucleotides) under uncultured bacterium. Its description in RNAcentral is "partial 16S ribosomal RNA". It matches the Rfam family "Bacterial small subunit ribosomal RNA", at positions 28 to 507 of the family's 1533-position model. The record is from RNAcentral.
GAUGAACGCUGGCGGCGUGCUUAACACAUGCAAGUCGAACGGAAAGGCUCUUCCUUGCUGGGGUACUCGAGUGGCGAACGGGUGAGUAGCACGUGGGUGACCUGCCCUGCACUUCGGGAUAAGCUUGGGAAACUGGGUCUAAUACCGGAUAGGACGUCGUUCUGCAUGCCAUUGUGGGAAGAUUUUCGGUGGGGGAUGAUCUCGCGGCCUAUCAGCUUGUUGGUGGGGUAGUGGCCUACCAAGGCGUCGACGGGUAGCCGGCCUGAGAGGGUGUACGGCCACAUUGGGACUGAGAUACGGCCCAGACUCCUACGGGAGGCAGCAGUGGGGAAUAUUGCACAAUGGGCGGAAGCCUGAUGCAGCAACGCCGCGUGGGGGAUGACGGCCUUCGGGUUGUAAACUCCUUUCGCUAGGGACGAAGCGCAAGUGACGGUACCUGGAAAAGAAGCACCGGCUAACUACGUG